GCGUUCGUGGUGUAACGAUAGCACACUUGGCUCGUAUUCGAGAGAUCCAGGUUCGAGUCCCGGCUACGGCA
Molecule: transfer RNA, 71 nt
Filed under: Stegodyphus mimosarum
Lineage: Eukaryota; Metazoa; Arthropoda; Arachnida; Araneae; Eresidae
Rfam family: tRNA
About the family: Transfer RNA (tRNA) molecules are approximately 80 nucleotides in length. Their secondary structure includes four short double-helical elements and three loops (D, anti-codon, and T loops).
Source: Rfam by way of RNAcentral